Molecule: transfer RNA, 73 nt
Filed under: Gephyromantis pseudoasper
Lineage: Eukaryota; Metazoa; Chordata; Amphibia; Anura; Mantellidae
Description: tRNA-Leu(UUR)
Rfam family: tRNA
About the family: Transfer RNA (tRNA) molecules are approximately 80 nucleotides in length. Their secondary structure includes four short double-helical elements and three loops (D, anti-codon, and T loops).
Source: RNAcentral
GUUAAUGCAGCAGAACCCGGCCAUGCAAAAGAUCUAAGACCUUCUAUCAGGGGUUCAAAUCCCCUCAUUAACU